GAUGAACGCUGGCGGCGUGCCUAACACAUGCAAGUCGAACGGAGAUUACGGACGGAAGUUUUCGGAUGGAAGCCUGUAAUUCUUAGUGGCGGACGGGUGAGUAACGCGUGGGCAACCUGCCCUAUACAGGGGGAUAGCAGCUGGAAACGGCUGGUAAGACCGCAUAAGUCGGUUAAAUCGCAUGAUUUGAUCGGGAAAUGAGCAAUCAGGUAUAGGAUGGGCCCGCGUCCGAUUAGCCAGUUGGCAGGGUAAAAGCCUACCAAAGCGACGAUCGGUAGCCGGACUGAGAGGUCGGGCGGCCACAUUGGGACUGAGACACGGCCCAAACUCCUACGGGAGGCAGCAGUGGGGGAUAUUGCACAAUGGAGGAAACUCUGAUGCAGCGACGCCGCGUGAGUGAAGAAGUAUUUCGGUAUGUAAAGCUCUAUCAGCAGGGAAGAUGAUGACGGUACCUGACGAAGAAGCCCCGGCUAACUACGUG
Molecule: ribosomal RNA, 481 nt
Filed under: uncultured bacterium
Lineage: Bacteria
Description: partial 16S ribosomal RNA
Rfam family: Bacterial small subunit ribosomal RNA
Source: RNAcentral